This is a long non-coding RNA of Gordionus sp. m RMFG-2023, 678 nucleotides long. RefSeq lists it as uncharacterized. Lineage: Eukaryota; Metazoa; Nematomorpha; Gordioida; Chordodea; Parachordodidae. The record is from RefSeq and is a predicted model, not a curated record. The transcript has 4 exons.
CUCAUCCUCUAGUUCAACUUCAACCUCUUCUACUUCCUCUAUUUCAGGGCUUAAUUUAUUUGGAACUGGAGAUGCACCUGCCUUUUUACUUUUUCUCGUUGUUAUUGCAGCCUCCUCAGUUUCAACUUCUGGAAUGGCAAUAAUUAAUUCAAGGGUCAUGAGCGAUGCAAAUAUUGUCAUCAUCAUUUUAGGCAAUGCAAUGAUUACUGCACCCAAUUUUCGCGACAACGAAAUAGCAUAACCUAUAUUAGAUAGACGAUCUUCUUCCGUGAGUUCAGGGUCCGGAAUACCAGUGUCAGUGUAACCUUUGACCAAUCUAAACAUUAAAAAGAAAGAGAUACAUGAACUGCUAAACCCGCCUACAAUUCUCAAGGCAUAUUAAUUCAUGCAAAACAAGUUAUCACACUCAACAUUGUGCAAAUCAAAGUAUUGCUCCUUACGAAAUCAAGUGGAAAAGGAAGAACAGAAUACAUGGCAAACAUUAGAUGUUACCAUCAGCCUACGGAGGCCAAACUAUCCGAACUCUAGUGAUAUUUUGUAGUUUUUUUAAAAUAAAUAUUACACGAAAAAGAAAUGAUAACAGGAAACCCCAACUAGAUGUAAUAGACAAUAAGCAAUUGAAUAUGGAAAAGUCAUGAUAUUGGAAGAGAUCAAGGUAAAAUUUGGGUAAUAGUCCUC